This 1356-nucleotide long non-coding RNA is filed under the name Homo sapiens (human). Its description in RNAcentral is "HSALNT0110160". Lineage: Eukaryota; Metazoa; Chordata; Mammalia; Primates; Hominidae. The record is from RNAcentral.
UAUGGACAAGCCAAAGUAGAUCUUUCUGUUGUAGUGGAAUCGGUUAGGACAAGAUUUUAUUAGGGCAAAUAAUGAAUAUAUAUUAUUAGUGUUUUAUGUAGACUGGCUGGAAGCUAUGAAAGGAGAGUGCACAGGAGAGUGUCAUUCUAGGUCUUUCCAUGAAAUGCACUUGGCAAGGAAAAUAGACUCGGCAGAGUAAAGCUAGGAAAGCUAGAAAGACCUCAGAGAGGGAGAGAGCCUGACCCAAAGGAGGGCACUGCUGUGAGACAUGACUGGCAGUGGGGGAGUUUCUGUAAGGAACCACAAAUGACUUCCUGGAUAGACUUGUUAUGUCAUCUAAUUUCUCUUAUUUUGUUCCAUCCAUAGGCUUGCAUUCUUGGAAGGUAAAGGGAUAAGAAGCUGUGAAGGUUACGUAAUGGAGAUGAAAGGCAAGCUACAGGAAGUGAAAUUGGCAAUUCUUCUUGGUCCCUGUUUGGGAAAAUGUGAAUCUCAUCCUCUCAGUUUCUAGUUUGACAGACUAUAAGAGGAGUCUAUCAAGAAACCAUGUACAGAAAUAUCAAGUAAAAUAUAUCAUAAAAAAGGGACUCUGAGAACCUAGUGACCUGAAAAAAUGUUACUUAUGAAACUAAUGACCUAAGAAUGCCUUUAAAUCGAAGAGCAUCUAGUACAGCAAAGAGACCUUCAAAAUGGGCAUGUAAGCACUGAUCCAGAUAGAAGAUUAAAUAGCACGAUAUAUUAAAAAGCAUAAGAGUUAGAGACGAAUGCUGAAAGACCAUGAAAAAUCUCAGAGACAAGUCAUUUCUGGGACAAUAAAUAGCGGAAGACAGCAUUUAACAAUGAAUUAAGGGAAAUUCCAUUCUUUCCUGUAUUUCAGCAGUUAAGAAAUACCAUUGACUAAAAAAAAAAAAAUGAUUUUCUGCAUUGGAUGUUAAAAGAUAUGAAGCAAGAAAUUGACCAUUCAGUGGAACAAUGUGAAUCCUAAAUUAUCUAAAUAAAAACAAGAGGAUCAGUUAAUUCAGAAAAAAGAAUUGUAUAAAUUCUGGAACUCGAAGGGACAUACCUAACAAAGAAUACAUCUUGCAGAUUGCUACAUAAAGGGAGGAAGUGAAUCGCUACCACUCAAUCCUGACAUUAAUUCAACAGACACAUAUUUUGAUUUCUGAAGAAUUAUGGAAACAUUCUUUCAGAAGAGAACAAUGAAAGAUAGCAUUCUGUGUUUAGCACAUUUCCCCUUUCCAAGUGGCAGUGGAGCGUUGUAACAGCAAAGUAAAUUGCUUCUUAUUUCUAUGUGCUUUUUAAAACUGUGACACUGACUGAGCUGAACCACCAAGACCACAUCUGUACACAGCUAAAUAA